RNAcentral lists this non-coding RNA (29 nucleotides) under Mus musculus (house mouse). The record is from RNAcentral. Lineage: Eukaryota; Metazoa; Chordata; Mammalia; Rodentia; Muridae.
UUAGGAAGUAGCUUUCCUUCAAGGGUCCU